This 889-nucleotide long non-coding RNA is filed under the name Lonchura striata (white-rumped munia). RNAcentral's name for it is "domestica (Bengalese finch) lncRNA (ENSLSDG00000001412.1)". The record is from RNAcentral. Lineage: Eukaryota; Metazoa; Chordata; Aves; Passeriformes; Estrildidae.
GGUGCUGGUUUUGGGGUCUCUGAGGGAAUUUGAGGGGGGCAGUAAGAGCUUUAAGAGAUGAUCUGGGGGCAGUUUUGGGGUGCCCUGCAGGGGUUGGGGCAAUUCUGGGGUCCCCUGGCAGUUUUGGGGUCCCCUGGCAGUUUUGGGGGGUCUGUUCUGUACCCCGGGCAGUUUUGGGGUCCCUGGGCACGUUUGGAGUGCCUGGACAGUUCUGGGGGUCCCCGGGCAGGUUUGGGGCUGUUCACCAGGGAGGUUUGGGGUGCCCUGGGCAGUUUUGGGGUGCCCUGGGCAGUUUUGGGGUGCCCUGGGCAGGUUCAGGGUCCCUGGGCAGGUUCAGGGUCCCCAGGCAGUUUCGGGGUGCCUGGGCAGUUUUGGGGGGUCUGUUCUGUACCCCAGGCAUUUCUGGGGUCCCCAGGCAUUUCUGGGGUCCCUGGGCAGUUUUGGGGUCCCUGGGCACGUUCGGGGUGCCUGGGCAGGUUUGGGCUCCCCAGGCAGUUUUGGGGAUCUGUUCUGUUCCCCAGGCAUUUCUGGGGUCCCUGGGCAGGUUUGGGCUCCCCAGGCAGUUUUGGGGGGUCUGUUCUGUACCCCUGGCAUUUCUGGGGUCCCCGGGCAGUUUUGGGGGGUCUGUUCUGUACCCCUGGCAUUUCUGGGGUCCCCGGGCAGUUUUGGGGGGUCUGUUCUGUACCCCGGGCAGUUUUGGGGUCCCUGGGCAUGUUCGGGGUGCCUGGGCUGUUUUGGGAUCCCCAGGCAGGUUUGGGCUCCCCGGGCAAUUUUGGGGAUCUGUUCUGUUCCCCAGGCAUUUCUGGGGUCCCCGGGCAGUUUUGGGGUCCCCGGGCAGUUUUGGGGUGCCCGGGCAGUUUUGGGGUGCCCCAUCAGUUUCGGGGUGCCC